GCUUAAUCAGGGGUGUGGAAAUAAAAAAACAACUACUUGUCCCAGGACUAAAGAGUUUGCCCAUUCAAUUUGUCCGCCAUGACAAUCUACUUGUCCUGAUACAAUUUUUUUUAAUCAGAACCGUAUUUAAAUAAGGUCUGUCACCAGUCACCACCUCACUCUGUCACCCCCUCCAUAACGCUGUCAACUGUCACUCCUUCCCUCACUAUCAUCAGUCACCUCCUUCCUCCACUGGUGACAGAGGGAGGGAGUGACUAGUGACAGAGUAAUUGGAAGGAGGGGAGACCGGUGACAGAGAGCGGGG
Molecule: non-coding RNA, 304 nt
Organism: Pelobates cultripes (western spadefoot toad)
Lineage: Eukaryota; Metazoa; Chordata; Amphibia; Anura; Pelobatidae
Source: the annotation of a GenBank genome assembly